UGGAGUGUUAGUUUCUGGUUCAGGUUAUGGUUGAUAGGUAAGAACACGUGCCUAAAGCUAAGCUAGUGUGGGGGAUUGAGGGUCAGAAGGUUCCGAGUCUGAUGAUAAGACGUAGUAGGGUGGAGGAGAUUGGUGAGAUAGGUUCAUUAAGCAUUUAGCUAUAGAAAUUGGUAGGGUUGUAGUAGAGAGGUUAAAUUUUUGAAAUGGGGGAGAUGGUGAAUUAGAGGUUGGAGUAUCAGAGGGUUU
Molecule: long non-coding RNA, 246 nt
Filed under: Lathyrus oleraceus (garden pea)
Lineage: Eukaryota; Viridiplantae; Streptophyta; Magnoliopsida; Fabales; Fabaceae
Description: Pisum sativum (pea) long non-coding RNA (PSAT_LNC028345)
Source: RNAcentral